This 491-nucleotide ribosomal RNA is filed under the name uncultured bacterium. RNAcentral describes it as "partial 16S ribosomal RNA". It matches the Rfam family "Bacterial small subunit ribosomal RNA", at positions 29 to 506 of the family's 1533-position model. The record is from RNAcentral.
AGUGAACGCUGGCGGUAGGCCUAACACAUGCAAGUCGAACGGCAGCACAGUAAGAGCUUGCUCUUACGGGUGGCGAGUGGCGGACGGGUGAGGAAUACAUCGGAAUCUACUUUUUCGUGGGGGAUAACGUAGGGAAACUUACGCUAAUACCGCAUACGACCUACGGGUGAAAGCAGGGGAUCUUCGGACCUUGCGCGAUUGAAUGAGCCGAUGUCGGAUUAGCUAGUUGGCGGGGUAAAGGCCCACCAAGGCGACGAUCCGUAGCUGGUCUGAGAGGAUGAUCAGCCACACUGGAACUGAGAAACGGGCCAAGCUCCUACGGGAGGCAGCAGUGGGGAAUAUUGGACAAUGGGCGCAAGCCUGAUCCAGCCAUACCGCGUGGGUGAAGAAGGCCUUCGGGUUGUAAAGCCCUUUUGUUGGGAAAGAAAAGCAGCAGGUUAAUACCCCGCUGUUCUGACGGUACCCAAAGAAUAAGCACCGGCUAACUUCGU